RNAcentral lists this ribosomal RNA (498 nucleotides) under uncultured bacterium. RNAcentral's name for it is "partial 16S ribosomal RNA". It matches the Rfam family "Bacterial small subunit ribosomal RNA", at positions 30 to 523 of the family's 1533-position model. The record is from RNAcentral.
AUUGAACGCUGGCGGCAUGCCUUACACAUGCAAGUCGAACGGCAGCGGACCUUCGGGUGCCGGCGAGUGGCGAACGGGUGAGUAAAGUAUCGGAACGUACCUUUCAGUGGGGGAUAACGUAGCGAAAGUUACGCUAAUACCGCAUAUUCUGUGAGCAGGAAAGCAGGGGAUCGCAAGACCUUGCGCUGAUUGAGCGGCCGAUAUCAGAUUAGCUAGUUGGUGAGGUAAAGGCUCACCAAGGCGACGAUCUGUAGCGGGUCUGAGAGGAUGAUCCGCCACACUGGAACUGAGACACGGUCCAGACUCCUACGGGAGGCAGCAGUGGGGAAUUUUGGACAAUGGGGGCAACCCUGAUCCAGCCAUGCCGCGCGAGUGAAGAAGGCCUUCGGGUUGUAAAGCUCUUUCGGCCGGGAAGAAAUCGCGCAGGUUAAUACCCUGUGUGGAUGACGGUACCGGAAUAAGAAGCACCGGCUAACUACGUGCCAGCCGCCGCCGUAA